This 204-nucleotide long non-coding RNA is filed under the name Sorghum bicolor (sorghum). RNAcentral's name for it is "long non-coding RNA (SBIC_LNC018567)". The record is from RNAcentral. Lineage: Eukaryota; Viridiplantae; Streptophyta; Magnoliopsida; Poales; Poaceae.
CAAACAGAUUGAAGCAAGAUUCCAUAUGACACACAUGAUCUAGGAGUUUUAUCGGGUGCGUCCAAAUUGAUUUCUGAGAAUAUGGUACGUUCCAUGCAAACCGUACACCUAUCUUUCAUCAAGAUUGGCACUAUCUCCAAACAGACCGAACCGAGCUUUCACUUGAGCCUCUUCACCUAGGAGUACCAUCGGGAACUUCCACAA